This 484-nucleotide ribosomal RNA is filed under the name uncultured bacterium. Its description in RNAcentral is "partial 16S ribosomal RNA". It matches the Rfam family "Bacterial small subunit ribosomal RNA", at positions 30 to 507 of the family's 1533-position model. The record is from RNAcentral.
AUUGAACGCUGGCGGCAGGCCUAACACAUGCAAGUCGAGCGGAUGAAGGGAGCUUGCUCCUGGAUUCAGCGGCGGACGGGUGAGUAAUGCCUAGGAAUCUGCCUGGUAGUGGGGGAUAACGUCCGGAAACGGGCGCUAAUACCGCAUACGUCCCGAGGGAGAAAGUGGGGGAUCUUCGGACCUCACGCUAUCAGAUGAGCCUAGGUCGGAUUAGCUAGUUGGUGGGGUAAAGGCCUACCAAGGCGACAAUCCGUAACUGGUCUGAGAGGAUGAUCAGUCACACUGGAACUGAGACACGGUCCAGACUCCUACGGGAGGCAGCAGUGGGGAAUAUUGGACAAUGGGCGAAAGCCUGAUCCAGCCAUGCCGCGUGUGUGAAGAAGGUCUUCGGAUUGUAAAGCACUUUAAGUUGGGAGGAAGGGCAGUAAGUUAAUACCUUGCUGUUUUGACGUUACCAACAGAAUAAGCACCGGCUAACUUCGUG